UGUCAAGUCCAAAAUGGAGGCACAGU
This 26-nucleotide non-coding RNA is filed under the name Mus musculus (house mouse). Lineage: Eukaryota; Metazoa; Chordata; Mammalia; Rodentia; Muridae. The record is from RNAcentral.